RNAcentral lists this long non-coding RNA (804 nucleotides) under Struthio camelus australis. Its description in RNAcentral is "lncRNA (ENSSCUG00000016856.1)". Lineage: Eukaryota; Metazoa; Chordata; Aves; Struthioniformes; Struthionidae. The record is from RNAcentral.
GGUCCCAGGCGCUGGCACCCGCAAACGUCGCUGAGCAGCCCCUGCUCCGCGGCCGGAUUUGUGCCUACGCACAAACAGUCCUGCAGGGGUGGCCGGUCUUUUCAACGCGCUGUGCCCGUUUUUUAAUCCAUCCCUGUGUAGCCAUGGCGGUUAAUCGUUUUUUUAUUUUGCCAGGCAAGUAUGUUUCCAGCUGCUGAUUUUACCCAGUUGAGUAUCUGCAGCGUAGGCUGCUAAAUAAAGCACGAGAAGAGGAGGAAGAACAAUAAAGCAGCAACAACACAUUUCAAAAGAGCAGGCACUUGUAGAAUCAGGGAGCAAUGCCGAAGCCACCAGGAUCUAACCCAGCUGAGAUCUUCUCCAUCCAGAUGAGUCCCUGUGUAUCUGAGAUGCUGGUGGCGUGGUGCCUAGCUUUGUGCUGAAGUAGAGAGCUCUGAUGCUGAAGAAUAAUCAUUUUGGACUGCAGCCCUGACUGAAGGUCUGAAUGAAACAGAUGUCAUCCUUCCAGACAAAACAAGAACCCGCACACUGUCCUUUGCACCUCUGAGGUGGAUGCUUCUAAUAUGGAAGGAACAUCAUGCAGUCCACAAGAACAACAGCUCUGUCCAUUGGCAAAAUGGGCAUCACGGAAUUCAGCAGAGAAGCCAUUCUAUAUGGACUGAGAGUUAGUGUACAAAGUUUCCUGAUGGAAUUUAACAUUCAGUUCCUAUAAAGAAGAAAAUGGGCAACAUGGAGCAUCUCUAAUUCAUCUCCUGAAGAGCUUGGAAGAAACUCAUUUACUUUUCAGUACCUCUAACUGAAAAGUAU